UAAUGAUCCAGUGAUGAAUAAUGCAAUAUGAGAAGCUACCCACAGCCCUGGCUUUCAAGUUUGUUCCAGUCAUCACUGUUUUCCAACCAGCAGAAAAGAAACAGAAAGGACAUCUAAUGUGGCACCACUUCUACUCACAUUUCAUUGGAUCAGACUUUACCACUUGGCCACAACUUGCUUCAAGAUGGGACCCCGCCUGGCCUUCUAAGACCCACAAGAAUCAGAAACAGAUGAGGAAUCAUGCCCUAUUCUCACACAUGAGAACCACUGACCCACUGAAAUCUCAUAAGACUCUGGAAAUAAAAGAAAAGUCAACCUGCUCUUACAACAAAUCAUAAUCAUUGAAUGAUUAUGUAAAUGAUGAGAACAAGAAUCAGAAAAGCCUACUUUGGCUGCUGAGGACGCAGAAUCCAAAGAAAUGGAAUCCAAAGGAAGAAUCCAAAGAAAUGUUGGCACACGGAGCUCAUGACCCACUUCUGAACUGAGCAGGAGCUGCACACAUCCCCAAACUCACACGUAGACCUACCUACCCACAGUGAAAAGGCGAACACACCAGAUCACCUUAAGUCGUCAUCGAUCUUGACAGCAAGUGUUCCUGGACGCAGGGAGCUCUAGGGCUCCAUGGGCACGGCCUAAGACUGUUCCGAUCCAAGCACACAGCACAAGGGGAGACUCUAACAAGCUUCCAAGAGUGCUCUGCUAUCGGCAUUUUUCCGAGCUGUGCAACGAAGAGACAAAUUUUAAAUGAAUAUUGUAUAAGUAACUGAUCAUCACCCCCGGCACUCCCUUCUUCCUCUCAGCUAAAGAAUCCCAGAAUUUCAGCUAAGUAUAUGGCUCUUAGAAAUAGACUGAGGUUCUCCUCCCUGGUGCAAAGAGACAAGGACAGCAGCAUGGGGUUGCUCCGUGUGGAAAUCCACAGACCAGGCCAGGCUGGAAAGUGUGGAUGACACUCAGAAGAGAGGCAGCUUUAGAAAGGAUGGUGGCCGUGAGAAGUCCCCGUAAGGAUUAACACGAUGGGAAUUGUUCACCUUUCCCUUUAAAAAAGUUCCAUAUUAACAAAUUCUCAGCUCUAAAUCCUUUGGAAAUGUCUUGAAAGGAAUUUAUCUGGGUUCGCUGUUCAUGCAUUUCACAGGUAUUUGUAGAUUUACCAUUUUAGCAAACAAACCCAAACAUCCCUGCCCUCAGCUCUCUCGUAGAGGCAAAUUCCAGGACAGAGAAGUAAGCAAACCUCUCUGCACUGGGGCUCCCAGGAAUCAGAUUCAAGCAAGGCAAGCACUGUCUCUGGUGGGUGUGAAGCUUGGGGAGUUUUCAGGCUAUAAGACGAGUGAAAACACGCUUGAGCUGCCGCCCAAGAGUCAAGUAUUUACCUGUUGAAGCCCAACAACUUCAGGCCCGUGCAGAUACCCUGUGCCACCUGAUGGAGUUGUAAUGGAUUCCAAGGCCUUGCAACCGCCACCCCAGAUCAGUCUAAAAUGGAAAUCUCUGUCAUAUGGCAUGUAAGGGGACCUGAGAAAUCUGAGACGUUGUUUAGAUCAUCCCCUAAUUUGAUAAAUGUGGAAGUGGAGCCUGGAAAACCAAGGGGUUUGUCUAAGGUCACCAAGUAGUGGCCGUGUUAUGCUCUUGGCUUUAUCAAAGCUCAAGGUACUGGGCAUAUCAGAAGAAUUGGCCGGGCUGUGGGUAGGGGAAAAGCCAGGAGGAAUGGGGGAGAUGAGGAGGUGGGAGGGGUACCUCCCAGGUUUGGGUCUCUCCAAAAAAGCCAGGGAACAUGCCCACAAUGCUGGGCAGGAACAGGGUGUCUUUGGCAACCACAGAGCAAUGUUGGUCCAGCAGGAGGUCAGCGGUGCAAAGAAAUGUCUGUUACCCUCUGAUUCAGUCCAUUUAAAAAACCCAAAGGAGCAGAAUCUUCACAGAUUUUGGAUUCUCACUAGUCUGUAAAGGGAAAAGACCCACAGAGACUGUUGCAUAAUUGCGUGACUUUAAAUGGUCAAGCCAGUCAUUUAAAUUUCAAAUCCAUUGACUUCCCCUUCCUGUCUCUGUCUCCAGUAUUAGCCAGUCUUUUCUUUUAUCCAAAUAUGCAAAAACGGAAGACUCUUUUCUCAGUGUCUGGUACAUGGUAUACAUUUAAUACAAAAACCGUUAACUUGAAUCAAAAAUUCGGAAUGAAUUAUCGCACAGAUUCACACUCUGUUCAGAAAUUUGUCUUUUCAGGCCUCCUCAGCGCUGGAAACCACGUAAAUCGAGAGGUGGAGUCAGGAGGUGGGAGGCAUCCUGGGCACUUAUUUAAGAAGGACGCUUCUCGGGCAUCUGGGUGGCUCAGUCGGUUAAGCCACCGACUCUGGAUUUCGGCUCCAGUCAUGGUCUCAGGGUCGCGGGAUCAAGCCUCAUGUUGGGCUCUGCACU
This is a long non-coding RNA of Canis lupus familiaris (dog), 2400 nucleotides long. RefSeq lists it as uncharacterized. The transcript has 6 exons. The record is from RefSeq and is a predicted model, not a curated record. Lineage: Eukaryota; Metazoa; Chordata; Mammalia; Carnivora; Canidae.